RNAcentral lists this ribosomal RNA (757 nucleotides) under uncultured Nitrososphaerota archaeon. RNAcentral describes it as "bacterial SSU rRNA". It matches the Rfam family "Archaeal small subunit ribosomal RNA", at positions 147 to 906 of the family's 1478-position model. Lineage: Archaea; Thermoproteati; Nitrososphaerota. The record is from RNAcentral.
AAUACCCCGGUAGACCACUUCUCCUGGAAUGGUUAGUGGUUAAAAUGAUUCGUCGCCAUAGGAUGGGACUGCGGCCUAUCAGCUUGUUGGUGAGGUAAUGGCCCACCAAGGCGAUUACAGGUACGGGCUCUGAGAGGAGAAGCCCGGAGAUGGGUACUGAGACAAGGACCCAGGCCCUAUGGGGCGCAGCAGGCGAGAAAACUUUGCAAUGUGCGAAAGCACGACAAGGUUAAUCCGAGUGAUUUCUGCUAAAGGAAUCUUUUGUUAGUUCUAAAUAUACUAGUGAAUAAGGGGUGGGCAAGUUCUGGUGUCAGCCGCCGCGGUAAAACCAGCACCUCAAGUGGUCAGGAGGAUUAUUGGGCCUAAAGCAUCCGUAGCCUGUUCUAUAAGUUUGCGGUUAAAUCUAUGCGCUCAACGUAUAGGCUGCCGUAAAUACUGUAGAACUAGGGAGUGGGAGAGGUAGACGGUACUCGGUAGGAAGGGGUAAAAUCCUUUGAUCUAUCGAUGACCACCUGUGGCGAAGGCGGUCUACCAGAACACGUUCGACGGUGAGGGAUGAAAGCUGGGGGAGCAAACCGGAUUAGAUACCCGGGUAGUCCCAGCUGUAAACGAUGCAGACUCGAUGAUGCAAUGGCAUAGAGCUAUUGCAGUAUCGCAGGGAAGCCGUUAAGUCUGCCGCCUGGGAAGUACGUACGCAAGUAUGAAACUUAAAGGAAUUGGCGGGGGACACCACAAGGGGUGAAGCCUGCGGUUCAAU